Molecule: ribosomal RNA, 433 nt
Filed under: uncultured bacterium
Lineage: Bacteria
Description: partial 16S ribosomal RNA
Rfam family: Bacterial small subunit ribosomal RNA
Source: RNAcentral
AACGAACGCUGGCGGCAUGCCUAACACAUGCAAGUCGAACGAGACCUUCGGGUCUAGUGGCGCACGGGUGCGUAACGCGUGGGAACCUGCCCUUAGGUUCGGAAUAACUCCCCGAAAGGGGUGCUAAUACCGGAUAAUGUCUUCGGACCAAAGAUUUAUCGCCUUUGGAUGGGCCCGCGUUGGAUUAGCUAGUUGGUAGGGUAGAAGCCUACCAAGGCGACGAUCCAUAGCUGGUCUGAGAGGAUGAUCAGCCACACUGGGACUGAGACACGGCCCAGACUCCUACGGGAGGCAGCAGUGGGGAAUAUUGGACAAUGGGCGAAAGCCUGAUCCAGCAAUGCCGCGUGAGUGAUGAAGGCCUUAGGGUUGUAAAGCUCUUUUACCCGGGAUGAUAAUGACAGUACCGGGAGAAUAAGCGCCGGCUAACUCCGUG